RNAcentral lists this ribosomal RNA (194 nucleotides) under uncultured bacterium. Its description in RNAcentral is "partial 16S ribosomal RNA". It matches the Rfam family "Bacterial small subunit ribosomal RNA", at positions 339 to 524 of the family's 1533-position model. The record is from RNAcentral.
CUACGGGAGGCAGCAGUGGGGAAUAUUGCGCAAUGGGGGAAACCCUGACGCAGCGACGCCGCGUGUAGGAAGAAGGCCUUCGGGUCGUAAACUACUGUCAAGAGGGAAGAACCCGCAGGGCAUUAAUACGGCUCUGCGCUGACGGUACCUCUAGAGGAAGCACCGGCUAACUCCGUGCCAGCAGCCGCGGUAAU